GGGAGUAAUGCCUUAUGAGAUACGUUUGUCGCAUGGCAUUUGUAUUAAACGCUCCGGCGCCAUAGGAUGGACCCGCGUCCCAUUAGCUAGUUGGUGAGAUAACAGCUCACCAAGGCCACGAUGGGUAACCGGUCUGAGAGGGCGAACGGUCACACUGGAACUGAGACACGGUCCAGACUCCUACGGGAGGCAGCAGUGGGGAAUAUUGCGCAAUGGGGGCAACCCUGACGCAGCAAUACCGCGUGAGUGAAGAAGGUUUUCGGAUCGUAAAGCUCUGUUAUUGGGGAAGAAAAAAAGACGGUACCCAAGAAGAAAGUUCCGGCUAACUACGUGCCAGCAGCCGCGGUAAUACGUAGGGAACAAGCGUUGUCCGGAUUUACUGGGCGUAAAGGGCACGCAGGCGGUUUUUUAAGUCAGAUGUGAAAGGCCACAGCUCAACUGUGGACAUGCAUUUGAAACUGAAAGACUUGAGUAUUGGAGAGGCAAGUGGAAUUCCUAGUGUAGCGGUGAAAUGCGUAGAUAUUAGGAGGAACACCGGUGGCGAAGGCGGCUUGCUGGACAAAUACUGAC
RNAcentral lists this ribosomal RNA (570 nucleotides) under uncultured bacterium. RNAcentral's name for it is "bacterial SSU rRNA". It matches the Rfam family "Bacterial small subunit ribosomal RNA", at positions 159 to 744 of the family's 1533-position model. The record is from RNAcentral.